GCCGAGCUGGCUCAGUUGGUAGAGUGUGUGACUUUUGAUCUCAGGGUUGUGAGUUUGACCCUCACAUUGGCU
RNAcentral lists this transfer RNA (72 nucleotides) under Ailuropoda melanoleuca (giant panda). It matches the Rfam family "tRNA". Rfam says of the family: Transfer RNA (tRNA) molecules are approximately 80 nucleotides in length. Their secondary structure includes four short double-helical elements and three loops (D, anti-codon, and T loops). Lineage: Eukaryota; Metazoa; Chordata; Mammalia; Carnivora; Ursidae. The record is from Rfam by way of RNAcentral.